Molecule: ribosomal RNA, 377 nt
Filed under: uncultured organism
Description: partial 16S ribosomal RNA
Rfam family: Bacterial small subunit ribosomal RNA
Source: RNAcentral
GUAGGGGCCAAGCGUUAUCCGGAUUUAUUGGGGCGUAAAGAGCUCGUAGGCGGCUUGGCAAGUCGGUCGUGAAAGUCCGAGGCUCAACCUCGGGAAUGCCGGGUCGAAACUGCCAUGGCUAGGGUUCGGUAGAGGAGAGUGGAAUUCUCGGUGUAGCGGUGAAAUGCGCAGAUAUCGAGAGGAACACCAGUAGCGAAGGCGGCUCUCUGGGCCGAUACCGACGCUGAGGAGCGAAAGCGUGGGGAGCAAACAGGAUUAGAUACCCUGGUAGUCCACGCCGUAAACGGUGAUCACUAGGUGUGGCGGACUCAUUGACGUCUGCUGUGCCGGCGCUAACGCAUUAAGUGAUCCGCCUGGGGAGUAUGGCCGCAAGGCUA